AUCUGCCCCAUUUCGUGAUAGAGGAAGCUGGUAGGAGACUGCAAAAAUGAGUCUGCAAUUGAGAAAUUAUGUCACUAGCGUAACGACAGCGGGACUCAUCCCCACUGUUAGUCCGUGCCUCCCCGUAGGUAACCCAACAGUCCCUUCCUUUCAGAGCCAUAACAAGUGCCAUAGCAGACGUGAGAAUACACACAAAGUGCGUUGCCCCGUUUCGUCACAUUUGCUGCUGCCAGUCUUGCCUCCGCUCAGAAACAGGAUGAGGGGUGCCUGUGUUGUGUGUUUUUGUCACCUCGUUACAGCCGCACGACAAAAGCGACGGCACCAAAAAUUACUGGCGGCGCAGGCGCGUAAACAGAACUAACGAACAAGAUGACACGUGGACUGGAGUUUCGUGGGUCGGGAGGGAACAGAGGUAAAUAUACUUUUAGAUUUCCGUGCAGUUGUGGUUAUGUCGGUGGUGGACGCUGCAAGGACAAUCUGACUGAAAGGUACUAGUGGUCGAGUUAGAGGGACGGAGUCACGCAAUCCAGUCCACAGCUUCUGGUUUGCCGUUGUUUUGGUGGCAAGUCAGCAGGCGGUCCACACAUGGUGGUGAGGGUGGUCGAAGGCACAGAAGUUUGGUGGGGGACGCUUCCACACACUUUGAAAGAACUAUCGAAGCGUCGAAGAACCCAGGUUAACACUCGUCGUUCUAGUCUCGCCAACCGCUCAGUGUUUCAGAAGUUGAGGCAUACAAGGAGAAACCACAGAUUCUGCGAAAAUAGCUGUUGAUGAGCUAAAGGCUGACACCAAAGAGCGCUAACACUUCAGAGGUAAGAAAAGACUGGCGGCAUUCUGUGUGAUAUGACGAUGCUGAUGCGUUCGUUCUCAAUGAAAAUGCCGAAAGGUCAAUGUUUCCGUAUUUCGUGGAUCUGACUAUUUCAUUUCAUUUGUCACUGCAUUUCAAGCACAGUGUCAUUACAUGCAGAACUAAGCAUACCCGAGGUCGAGGCAAACGGUCUGUCAGUGUCAAACCGUGCUUGAGCCACCUAUAAACGUUACUGCAGCGCAGAAGCUUCCCCCCCUAAAUGCUUCCCUUCUAUAUUAUUGCAGUGUAGCCGCUGGGGUGCAAGUUAGAUCGCGUCGCCCCCCUCAGUGCAGAAGCUGGUUUAACGGGCGCUAGUUAUGCGUGGCAGUAUGUGGCGUUAGUUGUACACAUUCCUACAGCCAGGCCUCGUCGACGAGUGCCUCCUUAGAAGCUUGCAUGCCGAGCCCAUGGCUUCUUGACCCUACUAAAGUACGUCAGGUGUCAACCAACUAUAAAAGAGCAGCUGCCACACUAUGAGAAACACCUGGCGGAUUCUGGAGGCGAGUGGCUCUUAUCGUAGAUUGGGCGUUCCGCAACAUCAUUCGCUACCACCCCACUCUCUACUCGGGUCUCGAAUGCACGUUUGUCUGCACUAGACGGUGUCCGCUGUUUUUCCUUUCUGAACUUCGAUGCGCAUUCCCGUUCAAGAUACGCCAGAGACGAGCCUCUUGUAUACAGGCC
This 1528-nucleotide long non-coding RNA is filed under the name Toxoplasma gondii VEG. The record is from RNAcentral. Lineage: Eukaryota; Apicomplexa; Conoidasida; Eucoccidiorida; Sarcocystidae.